Molecule: ribosomal RNA, 253 nt
Filed under: uncultured bacterium
Lineage: Bacteria
Description: partial 16S ribosomal RNA
Rfam family: Bacterial small subunit ribosomal RNA
Source: RNAcentral
UACGUAGGGGGCUAGCGUUGUCCGGAAUCAUUGGGCGUAAAGAGCGUGUAGGCGGCCUGGUAAGUCCGCUGUAAAAGUCAAAGGCUCAACCUUUGAAUGUCAGUGGAUACUGCCGGGCUAGAGUCCGGAAGAGGCGAGUGGAACUCCUGGUGUAGCGGUGGAAUGCGCAGAUAUCAGGAAGAACACCAACGGCGAAGGCAGCUCGCUAGGACGGUACUGACGCUAAGGCGCGAAAGCGUGGGGAGCAAACAGG